UAUGUUAACAAAGAUAUUACUAAAGGUAUUUAGCCUUCUUGUAAUGCACAACACACAAGUGAUGGCGUCCCAUCAAACUUCUAUCACACAGACAGAUAGUCCUUGUGUCCCCUAUAAGUAGGGUUGUUCAUCUCAGUUAGAGUAAAAAAAAAUAUGAGAGAAGUUCAGAAAUCAACUAACAAUGAUUGUCUUUUGAUGAAUGAGACAUUCUAGGUUCAGAAAUGAAUACAUAGCAAAGGUACUAAUUCCGAUGAAAAGAAUAAUUGAUAAUGAUAUUGUAAGCAAAAGUAUCAUUCUAUAACUCAUGAGAGAGAAGAUAUAAUUUCUAAUAAAAAUCUCUAUGAAAAGAUGUCAAAAUCGAUAGAUUUCAAAAGUGCUAGGUUCGAUGAAAAGAAUAGUCAAAAAAAGAUACAAUAACCAUAAGCAUCAUUUGAUAACUUACGCAAAAGAGAAACUGAUACUUCAUCAAAUACCUCUAUGAAAGAGAUAUCAAAACAAUUCACUAAGGCGAAAAAUAAUCAAUAUAAUCAACGAAUGAGGAAGGUAUUACCAAGAUUUUCACAGAUGCCUUCUUGACUGAUUCCUCUGGCUCGUUUCGAUUCUAGCAGUUCUUCUCGAUGUUCUAAUAUUCUGGCCGAUUCGUACACGACUCCAAAGAUUCCACCACCGCUAUCUACUUUAGUAAAAAGUCCUAUCCAGCUUGACACGAUAAGAAGCCAUCUUCAACUUUAUACAAUCAACAUUGUAGAGCGUUGACGUUCUAGCCUACUCAUAGCACUAUAUCUAGUAUUUUAACACGAAAUCUAUAUAAGCUCUCAAACCGAGAACUAUAUACCUUUCUUACUCUGACCCAACAAUUCUCAUACUUAUUUUAUAUGUCUCUAUAGAAACAAUAGAUGACCCUCGAACAAACACUCAAAAGUGGUAGAGAUGACAAGGAACAUUCUAGACUAGAUAGGUUUCUCCACAAGUCUAGCUGGCAAUGGUUAGUCAGAAAGUCAACAUCAAGCUCUGAGAGAUUGGCAACUAAAGGUGUACUAAUGUUUCUCUUGAGAUCCAAACUCACUAGCUCUAGAUAUGGAAACUAGGAUAUACCCAAAAUGAUUACUCAGAAUCAUUACUCCAAACUCAGUCUCAGUUCCAUCAACAAAGACUAUAACCAAUAGUCUUGACUUACCUCUAUAUGAGGUUCCACUAAACAAAAUCCUAUCACACUCUACAUUCUGAUUUCAAUAACUUAUAACC
This 1245-nucleotide long non-coding RNA is filed under the name Daucus carota (carrot). RNAcentral's name for it is "long non-coding RNA (DCAR_LNC007133)". The record is from RNAcentral. Lineage: Eukaryota; Viridiplantae; Streptophyta; Magnoliopsida; Apiales; Apiaceae.